This 79-nucleotide small RNA is filed under the name Sinorhizobium meliloti 2011. RNAcentral describes it as "putative ncRNA". Lineage: Bacteria; Pseudomonadati; Pseudomonadota; Alphaproteobacteria; Hyphomicrobiales; Rhizobiaceae. The record is from RNAcentral.
AGCAGCGUCGAUUUGCCGACGCCGGAGCCCGCGAAGAUUCCGAGGCGCUGCCCGAGGCAGAGCGGGGAGAAGAUGUCUA